Molecule: transfer RNA, 73 nt
Filed under: Schistosoma japonicum
Lineage: Eukaryota; Metazoa; Platyhelminthes; Trematoda; Strigeidida; Schistosomatidae
Rfam family: tRNA
About the family: Transfer RNA (tRNA) molecules are approximately 80 nucleotides in length.
Source: Rfam by way of RNAcentral
AUAACAAUGAGUUAGUGGUUAAAUGUGUUGUUUGGCAACUAUUAGGUUGUAGGUUCGAAUCCUACUUCAUAUA